AUGCUUCUCCUAAAGACUAAGCCAUGCAUGCCUUCGAAUAGAAGAGCUUUCUCUCUGAAUCUGCGUACGGCUCCGCAAACCAGUUGUAAACCAUAGCAAGCAGACCUUGGGAACGGAGCAAUCCGUUCCCUUGGUCAUAGGGAUAACCCUGGUAAUUCUGAGGCUAAUACAAGAUCGUACCACCUGGCGAACCGGGCGACUGGUGAGCUGGGGUACGUGUGGAACGUCGCAUUACCAGUGGGAGAAGUCACACGCUCUGACCAUCACACAAAUGUUCCCGGUUGGACCGCCCCUCGGGGUGGCUCGGCUGGGUGCAGGUGGCUCUUGCAACGUGCUUCUGACCUAUCAACUAGAUGGCAGCGUAAGGGACAUGCUAUGGUGACAACGGGUACAGAGGAUAAGGGUUCGAUCCUGGAGAGUGGGCCUGAGAGAUCGCUCACACUUCUAAGGAAGGCAGCAGGCGCGCAACGUUCCCAGUGGACAUCGUCCGAGGGCGUUAGGGGAAAUAUGAAUGUCUGCCAUAUGGUGGACAAUUCAAAUGGGUUCGUUAUAAACAACCCU
Molecule: ribosomal RNA, 561 nt
Filed under: Fuligo luteonitens
Lineage: Eukaryota; Evosea; Eumycetozoa; Physariida; Physaraceae
Description: SSU rRNA
Rfam family: Eukaryotic small subunit ribosomal RNA
Source: RNAcentral